Molecule: ribosomal RNA, 562 nt
Filed under: fungal sp. 54886
Lineage: Eukaryota; Fungi
Also listed under: 1 other name
Description: eukaryotic LSU rRNA
Rfam family: 5.8S ribosomal RNA (bases 192-345)
Source: RNAcentral
GGUCUCCGUUGGUGAACCAGCGGAGGGAUCAUUACCGAGUGUAAAAACUCCCAAACCAUUGUGAACCUACCACUGUUGCUUCGGCGGCCUCGCCCCGGGCGCGUUCGCGCGGCCCGGACCCAGGCGUCCGCCGGAGGCUCCAAACUCUUGUCUUUUAGUGUAUUUCUGAGUGGCAUAAGCAAAUAAAUCAAAACUUUCAGCAACGGAUCUCUUGGUUCUGGCAUCGAUGAAGAACGCAGCAAAAUGCGAUAAGUAAUGUGAAUUGCAGAAUUCAGUGAAUCAUCGAAUCUUUGAACGCACAUUGCGCCCGCCAGUAUUCUGGCGGGCAUGCCUGUCUGAGCGUCAUUUCAACCCUCAGGACCCGUUCGCGGGACCUGGCGUUGGGGAUCAGCCUGCCCCUGGCGGCGGCUGGCCCUGAAAUCCAGUGGCGGUUCCCUCGCGAACUCCUCCGUGCAGUAAUUAAACCUCUCGCGGCAGGAUAGCGGUUGAACCACGCCGUUAAACCCCCCACUUCUCAAGGUUGACCUCAGAUCAGGUAGGAAUACCCGCUGAACUUAAGCAU